AUGACGAGCCACCUUGCAUACGGGCAAGCGUGCCGUGCAUCGCGGGAAGCAUCAAUGCGACGAGAGGCUCGUCAUACAUCACGUGACCAACGGCGGGUGCUUCGACGACUUCAACAAGGCGAUGGAAGAGUGCCGCGGCCGCUACGGUCCCGACACGUCACAACUCGACCUGAUCCGAGGCGUCGCCAAGCGUGUGGUGGACAUGGAGGCGUGCGUCAAGGCCACGGCGGCGCCGCGGGAGUGCUUCGCCGUCAAUCCCGCGGUGUUCAAGCACCAGUACCUCCGCCGCAUGGACGAGGGCCUCGACCAGGACACCAACCCAUCGCCGGACGAUAUUUCGAGGGAUGA
RNAcentral lists this ribosomal RNA (348 nucleotides) under Triticum aestivum (bread wheat). RNAcentral's name for it is "partial small subunit ribosomal RNA". The record is from RNAcentral. Lineage: Eukaryota; Viridiplantae; Streptophyta; Magnoliopsida; Poales; Poaceae.